This is a non-coding RNA of Solanum lycopersicum (tomato), 468 nucleotides long. The record is from RefSeq and is a predicted model, not a curated record. NCBI's taxonomy places the organism in Eukaryota, Viridiplantae, Streptophyta, Magnoliopsida, Solanales, Solanaceae.
UUAAGGUUAUCAUGGGUAUUUUAAGUAGUUUUAUAAGUCUAGAACCCUUAACCAAGUUCAUUAUUCAAAAUCAAAACCCAAACUCAAAGAAAAACUCUCUAGAACACCAUUGAAGCUUAAAGGGAGCUUGGAGCUUGGAGCUUGAUUCCUCCAUCAAUUUUCUCUCAAUUUCGUUGUUUAGCAUCAAUUAAGGUGUAAGUGGCAUUUGAGAGAAGUCUUGAAGUGAAGUUUGGACAUUAACAUUCCAUUCAAGCAAAUGUUGGUAUGUCCUCACUAGAUUCGAGGACAUCACUAUGUUUUAGUUUUCUUGAUUGAAAGUAUUGCAAUAGACUUAGAUAUUUGUAUAUGUUGAUGUAUGAGUCGUAUCCCAAGAUAUUCGUCUGUCUUAGAUGACGACUUUGAGACUUAGCCUUUCCUUAUGAUUUUCUAUAAAAGAGAUAUUUUGAAGUAUUACUAUUUCGUGUGAAA